RNAcentral lists this ribosomal RNA (277 nucleotides) under uncultured bacterium. RNAcentral's name for it is "partial 16S ribosomal RNA". It matches the Rfam family "Bacterial small subunit ribosomal RNA", at positions 83 to 354 of the family's 1533-position model. The record is from RNAcentral.
CCUUUGAAGUUAGCGGCGGACGGGUGAGUAACACGUGGGUAACCUACCUAUAAGACUGGGAUAACUUCGGGAAACCGGAGCUAAUACCGGAUAACAUUUAGAACCGCAUGGUUCUAAAGUGAAAGAUGGUUUUGCUAUCACUUAUAGAUGGACCCGCGCCGUAUUAGCUAGUUGGUAAGGUAACGGCUUACCAAGGCGACGAUACGUAGCCGACCUGAGAGGGUGAUCGGCCACACUGGAACUGAGACACGGUCCAGACUCCUACGGGAGGCAGCAG